GGGAGGAGGAGUACUAGAGAGACUCACAGUGCACGUGAGAAGAUUCAGAGUUCAGCAUCUGUAUUUAGUCAAAGUGUUGCAAGACAUCGAACUAAAGUUAUACUGGGUUACAGUGUGCGUACAUAUGCAGUCCUGUUAAGAUGUACCAACUCUCUUUUUCUGUACGGUGGACAAAGCCAACGUAACCCUCUCGUGCCUGCAAGCCUUACAGCAUCAGCUUCCUGUCCGGGUGCUCAGAUCGGCCCGUCCUCUGAUGUCUCGCUUCCAAGUGUUUGCUUUGUACUCGGUCAAAGUGUUGGAGCAGAUCACUGUAGUCUAUAUGAGGCUGAGCUGGUCGUUUCUCUUUAACAGAUGAUGCAUCAUCACUAGGAGGGGAAGAUUUGGUCUGUGAUUCUUCAUCAUCUUCAUCAUCCUCAGGCGUCACAAGCUUCAUCAAGCUAUGAUUACAUGCACUGGCGACCUCUUUUGUACCUGGCAUAUAAAGGAAAAUAUCACAUUUAAUAUAUAUAAUUGAACCAUUUUAGCCUCAUUGUGUAAAUAUCAGGUAUAUAACAUGAAUCAUACUCUUUUUCCGAUCAUCAUAGGAAAGGCAGGGCAACACGGCUGUCAGUAUUCCAGAGGAAUAAGGCAAAACUACUCUUCCUGCAAGCUGGAUAAAUUCUCUCAUCCAUGUCAUAGCCGUCAACUGAAUGAGAUCAUUAGCUGGAAAAAGUCAGAAUUAAAAACAAAUAUCGGUAAAGGUUCCAGUUAGCAUAAACGUGAUAACAUUUGACUUACUGGAUUUUGAUUCAUCAGACACUUGACAGUGAAUAACUAAGAUGUUGGCCAUUUCUGCAAACUUGACACUGGAUGGAUUCUUCUUAAUUUCUUUUAGGAAUUCCCCCAAAACCACCUCGCACCUAAUGAACAGCCUUUGUUAAUAGUUUAUUAAACAAAAAAAGGAAUAAACACAGAAAAGGGGGAAGAUGCAGAGAUGAUUGGAAAUAUGAGACAUACAUUCGCCGGAUCUCUUUGCUGCUGUCUCCAAGGAUCUGAAAGAGUCCAUCUAAAAUUUCUGGCAAAUAGUCCAAAAGGUUGAUAUCGGGAACCGACUCCAACACAUGAAUCUGAAUCAAACAAACAUCACAUUAAGUUGAAUGUGUUCUUAAAAAUGACUGCGAUUAUGCCAGGACGUGUUAGGUGCUCAAUUUACCCAUGAGAUAAUGAAUUGGCGGGCAUAUUGGUUGUUCGAGUAAAUCCUUUCACGCAACAGUGGGACAAAAGCUACUAGGUCAAAUUUGUUGCUUUCUGUUACAAUGUCCUGAAAAUAAAAGAAAGACAAGCAAAUGCUAA
This is a long non-coding RNA of Misgurnus anguillicaudatus (oriental weatherfish), 1332 nucleotides long. RefSeq lists it as uncharacterized. NCBI's taxonomy places the organism in Eukaryota, Metazoa, Chordata, Actinopteri, Cypriniformes, Cobitidae. The record is from RefSeq and is a predicted model, not a curated record.